This 73-nucleotide transfer RNA is filed under the name Cotesia glomerata. Its description in RNAcentral is "tRNA-Thr". It matches the Rfam family "tRNA". Rfam says of the family: Transfer RNA (tRNA) molecules are approximately 80 nucleotides in length. Their secondary structure includes four short double-helical elements and three loops (D, anti-codon, and T loops). Further hydrogen bonds mediate the characteristic L-shaped molecular structure. tRNAs have two regions of fundamental functional importance: the anti-codon, which is responsible for specific mRNA codon recognition, and the 3' end, to which the tRNAs corresponding amino acid is attached (by aminoacyl-tRNA synthetases). tRNAs cope with the degeneracy of the genetic code in two manners: having more than one tRNA (with a specific anti-codon) for a particular amino acid; and 'wobble' base-pairing, i.e. permitting non-standard base-pairing at the 3rd anti-codon position. The record is from RNAcentral. Lineage: Eukaryota; Metazoa; Arthropoda; Insecta; Hymenoptera; Braconidae.
GUCUCGGAUAGCUUAAUUGGUAGAGCUUUUAGCGCGUAACCAAACGAUCCGGGUUCGAAUCCCGGUCUGGGCU